AUCACUCACCCAGCCUUAAUGAUAGCAAUUUAAAAAAAUAUAUAUCUUUAAUUUACUUGCUAUCCUUUCCAGAGAUUUCCAUCUUUAUUUCCUCUCAAUCCGAAUGUCGUGGUCUAUACUUCUCCAUAGCUUGGCUAACGUGUUCUAGAAUCCCUCCCACCAGGUAACAGCUUUCUCUCCUCUUUAGAGCCUCCUUCACAAUAACAUGAGCAUAAAUAUUCAUUGUUUUAGGGAUAAAAUGAAACCCCAUCUCUUGAAAUCUGUCUUUUGUGCUUUGAAUGUCUUUAAUAAUUGCCCCAAUGGUCGAUUUGUCAAUCUUGGAACUUUGGCAUUUCUUUAUAAAAGUUUUUGAGUCACCCUUUACAUCCAUUUUAUUUAAUCCCAUGAAGAUUCCUAAUUUCACUGUUUGUAACUCUGCUUGAGCCUCUGCCAUGAACGGAGUAACUAUUUCAGAAUGAGUGACCAUUUUCGAUGCUAAGAUAUCCCCCUUUUCGUUUCGUGCAAGCAAGCCCGAAACCGAUCUGGAAUGUUGUUGGUCAUAAGCUGCAUCAAAAUAAACUAUAACCCUUGCUCUGCAAACAUUCUGUUGAAAAUUUUCAUUGGACUGGGCUUUGAGAUUUAACUUUGAAUCUGUUUUGCUAUGUCUCUUCAUGUCGCAGUUCUCCUUUCAUAUACUAACCUAUUCCUGUUGAACCAAAUCAACCAGAGUCCACAACAGAAAAAUCGAAUCUGUUCACUAGUCCCCUGUUCGAAAACCUAGGUAAGCCACUCCCACGUAUUCUGAGUAUUGUUAUUCAGUACCCAAGACAGAUUUAAGUGAUUCCAAGUCUCGACUGUUGUAAGACACUAUCAAAAAAUGUGGUUACUGUUCUCCUCAUCUUGACGACAUCGAGGGCAUUGUGCGUCCACCACCACUUUCCUUUGCUUGAGGUUAACAAGGGAAUGAAUAAAAUUCCAAGAGAUUCUACAAACUGUCAAUGUAACUAUUGAGGGGAUGUGUAAUUUCCAUAGUUUCUUAUAGAAAUUUUUUAUUUCGGUUUGUAUAAAGUAAUUAUUAGGAUCCACGCUAAACUCCUGUAAUAGUUUAUAGGCGCUUCUGAUUGAGAACUCACCGGACAGUUCACCUCUUCAUAUUUGUAAAUCUUCGUAUGCUGUCUCUACCAGUGGAAUCUGCAUGAUUUUCCUUGCAAAAUCCAUACUAAAGGUAUUCAUAAUAACAUCUGUUUUCCAAGUUCUAGUAGUGGCCUCUAUUAGAUCCGAAACUAACCUGAUAUUUUCAUUAUUUUCAUGGUUUUGUAAUCUGUCUGCUUCAUCCCCUGAUAUCCACAAAUCAUCCCAG
RNAcentral lists this long non-coding RNA (1339 nucleotides) under Gossypium barbadense (sea-island cotton). RNAcentral describes it as "long non-coding RNA (GBAR_LNC005084)". Lineage: Eukaryota; Viridiplantae; Streptophyta; Magnoliopsida; Malvales; Malvaceae. The record is from RNAcentral.